CAGAAGGGGUGGAGCUCGACUCUACCUCUCCCAGAUCCCAUUUAAGGGCUGACCAUCACUAAGGCAGCAUCUUUAUCUGGAGAUUGCUCUUGUGUGGAGUUUUUGUGGUGAGCCUCAACAUUGGAGAGCAUCCAUCUCAACUGAAAGCCUCAGCACUGAACUCCUAGGCAGCUCCAAUAUAGAAAAGCAUGCAGUGAAGAUGGCAACUUCAGAACAUCCUGGGACACUGAUAGGAAAGAUACCGUCUCUCAGCUGGGAUGAGAAGACAAAGGCUAUAGAACAAGCAAAGUGAAAAGUCCUGCAGAUGUGGCCUACGAGGAUUAAGAGAAACGUCACUUUUUUCAGAGGAAAGAACAGUUUUUCAAGAAACAUAAGAAUGGGGGAGCGAAACAGAAGGAAAAAAUAUCACGAGA
This is a non-coding RNA of Coturnix japonica (Japanese quail), 413 nucleotides long. Lineage: Eukaryota; Metazoa; Chordata; Aves; Galliformes; Phasianidae. The record is from RefSeq and is a predicted model, not a curated record.